GAUGAAGAACGUAGCGAAAUGCGAUAAGUAAUGUGAAUUGCAGAAUUCAGUGAAUCAUCGAAUCUUUGAACGCACAUUGCGCCCCUUGGUAUUCCGAGGGGCAUGCCUGUUCGAGCGUCAUUAUAACCCCUCAAGCACUGCUUGGCGUUGGCGGAUUGCGUGCCCUCGCGGCGCUGCAACCGCCCAAAUACAGUGGCGGUCCCGCUGCGGCUCCCUUUGCGUAGUAACUCACCUCGCACUGGACCGGGCGGCGGCCUGCCGUAAAACCCCAACUCACGAAAUGUUGACCUCGGAUCAGGUAGGAAUACCCGCUGAACUUAAGCAUAUCAAUAAGCGGAGGA
Molecule: unclassified non-coding RNA, 341 nt
Filed under: soil metagenome
Description: partial contains 5.8S ribosomal RNA, internal transcribed spacer 2, and large subunit ribosomal RNA
Rfam family: 5.8S ribosomal RNA (bases 1-120)
Source: RNAcentral